This 726-nucleotide ribosomal RNA is filed under the name uncultured Glomus. RNAcentral's name for it is "SSU rRNA". It matches the Rfam family "Eukaryotic small subunit ribosomal RNA", at positions 374 to 1096 of the family's 1831-position model. The record is from RNAcentral. Lineage: Eukaryota; Fungi; Glomeromycota; Glomeromycetes; Glomerales; Glomeraceae.
GGUUCGAUUCCGGAGAGGGAGCCUGAGAAACGGCUACCACUUCCAAGGAAGGCAGCAGGCGCGCAAAUUACCCAAUCCCGACACGGGGAGGUAGUGACAAUAAAUAACAAUACGGGGCUCUUUAGGGUCUCGUAAUUGGAAUGAGUACAAUUUAAAUCCCUUAACGAGGAACAAUUGGAGGGCAAGUCUGGUGCCAGCAGCCGCGGUAAUUCCAGCUCCAAUAGCGUAUAUUAAAGUUGUUGCAGUUAAAAAGCUCGUAGUUGAAUUUCGGGAUUGACGCGACGGUCGUGCCUUAAGGGGCGUGAACUGUCGCCGUUGAUUUCUCACCUUCUGGAGAAGCUCGAUGUCCUUAAUUGGAUGUCUUGUGGAACCAGGACCUUUACCUUGAAAAAAUUAGAGUGUUUAAAGCAGGCAUUUUGCUCGAAUACAUUAGCAUGGAAUAAUAGAAUAGGACGGCAUGGUUCUAUUUGUUGGUUUCUAGGAUCACCGUAAUGAUUAAUAGGGAUAGUUGGGGGCAUUAGUAUUCAAUUGUCAGAGGUGAAAUUCUUGGAUUUAUUGAAGACUAACUACUGCGAAAGCAUUUGCCAAGGAUGUUUUCAUUAAUCGAGAACGAAAGUUAGGGGAUCGAAGACGAUCAGAUACCGUCGUAGUCUUAACCAUAAACUAUGCCGACUAGGAAUCAGACGAUGUUAAUUUUUUAAUGACUCGUUUGGCACCUUACGGGAA